AUGAGGUCGUUGUCAUAUCGCUGGCACGCUAUUCAGGUCAGCGUCAAAGUUCAGCAACUUGGUCAAUCAGCUCGAGGCAAGGUGACCAUUGCAUACGAGCAUGGAGGAGAUGGUAAGUUUUACUUCCUCUUGCUAAACUUGUUGAUUGAUUCAUUUCAUUCAAUGUUGGUCUAUACAUUAUAUGUAGCCCGCAUGCGUCGCCGUGCUGUACCACAGGUCGGCGGGACUGCCAUUUACGUGCACACAUUGCUGGAUGAAGCUGAAGGAGAAGUAUGUGUGAGAGGACAUGAUCCAUUCCUCAAAAACUUGUUGGACAUCUGGGAUCUAGCCGAAUUUGAGACCUUGUUGUACUAG
Molecule: ribosomal RNA, 354 nt
Filed under: Triticum aestivum (bread wheat)
Lineage: Eukaryota; Viridiplantae; Streptophyta; Magnoliopsida; Poales; Poaceae
Description: partial small subunit ribosomal RNA
Source: RNAcentral